RNAcentral lists this ribosomal RNA (305 nucleotides) under uncultured bacterium. RNAcentral describes it as "bacterial SSU rRNA". It matches the Rfam family "Bacterial small subunit ribosomal RNA", at positions 338 to 660 of the family's 1533-position model. The record is from RNAcentral.
CCUACGGGGCGCAGCAGUGGGGAAUAUUGCACAAUGGGGGAAACCCUGAUGCAGCGACGCCGCGUGAAGGAAGAAGUAUUUCGGUAUGUAAACUUCUAUCAGCAGGGAAGAAAAUGACGGUACCUGACUAAGAAGCCCCGGCUAACUACGUGCCAGCAGCCGCGGUAAUACGUAGGGGGCAAGCGUUAUCCGGAUUUACUGGGCGUAAAGGGAGCGUAGGCGGUUCAGCAAGUCAGAAGUGAAAGCCCGGGGCUCAACUUCGGGACUGCUUUUGAAACUGUUGAACUAGAUUGCAGGAGAGGUAA